Molecule: unclassified non-coding RNA, 612 nt
Filed under: Diospyros kurzii
Lineage: Eukaryota; Viridiplantae; Streptophyta; Magnoliopsida; Ericales; Ebenaceae
Description: partial trnS-trnG intergenic spacer
Source: RNAcentral
GAUAAUUACUAUGUUACAUUACACGUAAAAUAAGGAUUAAAAAAGUCUUUCUUUCUCUUUAUUAUUUAUUAUAUAAAUAUGUACAACUUUUAUCAGCAAUUCCAUUUAGAUAAAGUAAGGGCUGAAAAGAUCCAAUAUAAAGAAAAAUCAAAGUAAAGAAGUUUUCUUUAUUUUGAUUUUGUUCGAAAGUGAUUUUUUAUUCCCAUGGCUUGGUUAGGUCAGUACCUAGCCGGGCCCUUUUUUUUGUUCGAACGAAUCUUAGAGAAAACUAUUUAUCUGAUUUGAAAACAAAAAUACUUGUUAUUAAAUUAAAGCAACAAGAAAGUGUCAUUUCUUAUUAUUCUUUCUUCCUUUUUACUGGAAUAAAAUAGAUUCUUACACAAAGAAACUUAAUGCAUUUUUAUGUUAUGAUUUCGGUUAUCGAGCCGUAUCUAUCAAAAUUCCUCCAGUAAAAGAAAAGAUAGAACUUCUUAUUUAGUUAUUUAAAUGAAUCCUCUUUUCUUAAUCUCAUUAAACCCCCACGAAAAGAGUUAACACUCUAAUUUUCAUGAUUCUUUUAUGAUCCUUUACGCCCAAUUCCCCUAUUCGACAAAAGAUCCAUUUGUAUACAAU